This 522-nucleotide ribosomal RNA is filed under the name uncultured Chrysochromulina. Its description in RNAcentral is "bacterial SSU rRNA". It matches the Rfam family "Bacterial small subunit ribosomal RNA", at positions 90 to 643 of the family's 1533-position model. Lineage: Eukaryota; Haptophyta; Prymnesiales; Chrysochromulinaceae. The record is from RNAcentral.
UUCUAGUGGCGAACGGGUGCGUAAUAUGUGAGAAUCUGCCCUUAGGAGAAGAAUAACUGUUGGAAACGACUGCUAAAUCUUCAUAUGCCGAGAGGUGAAAUAGCUUUUGUUGCCUAAGGAUGAGCUCACGCCUGAUUAGCUAGUUGGUAAGGUAAUGGCUUACCAAGGCCACGAUCAGUAGCUGGUUUGAGAGAACGAUCAGCCACACUGGGACUGAGACACGGCCCAGACUCCUCCGGGAGGCAGCAGUGAGGAAUUUUCCGCAAUGGGCGAAAGCCUGACGGAGCAAUACCGCGUGAGGGAUGAAGUAUUUUGGUAUGUAAACCUCUUUUCUCAAGAAAGAAGUUCUGACCGUACUUGAGGAAUAAGCAUCGGCUAACUCCGUGCCAGCAGCCGCGGUAAUACGGGGGAUGCAAGCGUUAUCCGGAAUCAUUGGGCGUAAAGCGCCUGUAGGUUGUUUAGUAAGUCCGUUGUUAAAGACUAGGGCUUAACCCCAGAAAAGCGAUGGAAACUACUAGACUA